This is a long non-coding RNA of Malus domestica (apple), 999 nucleotides long. RefSeq lists it as uncharacterized. Lineage: Eukaryota; Viridiplantae; Streptophyta; Magnoliopsida; Rosales; Rosaceae. The record is from RefSeq and is a predicted model, not a curated record.
CACCCUUAAGUCAGUUCCUCCCCGCUAACCCAACCCGUAGCGUGACCUUUCCGAUGUGUUUCCACUGGUUUUUCGGCGAUCCAAACUCGCCACCACCUGCAAACUAACCAUCAUUUUCUCCUCUUCCAUCUCCAACCAAAUUUCACUAGGUUUAACCUUGAAUUCAUGCAGAACGAAACCCGUGGGUUCCAGGGGUGCCACGGCAAAGAUUCGCCGAUCGUGAAAGCUACGUCGACCACCACCACCAUCAAACCACUCACCUUGAACCCAGGAACAAAGCCCACACAAGUUUGGGGGCGUCUGGUUCGAUUUGAGGACGAAUUGGAGAGCACCCAUUUCUAGGAUUUUGACGGGAUCGAGGGCAAUUUGAGCUAUUUCCCAGUCAAAUUGGACCUCAACCUAAGCAUGUUGGCGGGAAGCGACGUCAUCCUCACUAGUACGAGCAGUUCUCGGGCAAUAAAAUCAGAGUUAGGAUCGAGGCACAUGAUCCCGGCGUCAUGGUAAUUUGGCAUAGGUAUCCUCGAGUCUUCUCAGUAUAAGUAUCAUUUCCUUGUUCGUAUCGUUUCUUAGUAAUUCUUCCAUAUUAUUAUUAGUAGUUGUAUGCUCUAUACAUGUUCCUAUAAUAUAAUUUUACAUUUUAAUUGCAUAUUCUUUAUUUGUAUGCAUGUUUAAAAUGGCUUUGUCACCGUUGGGUGUCGACCAGCAUAUGCUUACCUUGGUAUGUGGGGAUAUCGAGGUUGGGGCGUGUCAAGUAAGGCCUGAAACAUUGCAUAAAUUGAGGCUAGUACUUAAGAAUAUUAACAUAAAGCCUUACAUUAGUUUUAAAACAUCAUGGAAAGGCUAAGGUGAAAACAAGUAGAUUUAAUGAGAUUUUUUGCCACUCAGUACUACGAUCUGGUAGUAUUCCUCUCUACUUGGAAGUGGGAGGUCCUAAGUUUGAAUCUUGUGAAUGGCGAAUUUGAAACCAAAUUAGGCUGCCCUUUGUGUGGCUUAGCCGAA